This 578-nucleotide ribosomal RNA is filed under the name uncultured bacterium. RNAcentral's name for it is "partial 16S ribosomal RNA". It matches the Rfam family "Bacterial small subunit ribosomal RNA", at positions 356 to 926 of the family's 1533-position model. The record is from RNAcentral.
UGGGAAUUUUGGACAAUGGGCGAAAGCCUGAUCCAGCAAUGCCGCGUGUGUGAAGAAGGCCUUCGGGUUGUAAAGCACUUUUGUCCGGAAAGAAAUCCUCUGGGUUAAUACCUCGGGGGGAUGACGGUACCGGAAGAAUAAGCACCGGCUAACUACGUGCCAGCAGCCGCGGUAAUACGUAGGGUGCAAGCGUUAAUCGGAAUUACUGGGCGUAAAGCGUGCGCAGGCGGUUUUGUAAGACGGAUGUGAAAUCCCCGGGCUUAACCUGGGAACUGCAUUCGUGACUGCAAGGCUAGAGUAUGGCAGAGGGGGUAGAAUUCCACGUGUAGCAGUGAAAUGCGUAGAGAUGUGGAGGAAUACCGAUGGCGAAGGCAGCCCCCUGGGCCAAUACUGACGCUCAUGCACGAAAGCGUGGGGAGCAAACAGGAUUNGAUACCCUGGGUAGUCCACGCCCUAAAACGAUGUCAACUAGUUGUUGGGGAUUCAUUUCCUUAGUAACGUAGCUAACGCGUGAAGUUGACCGCCUGGGGAGUACGGUCGCAAGAUUAAAACUUAAAUGAAUUGACGGGGUCAUAGCU